CCUACGGGGGGCUGCAGUGGGGAAUAUUGGACAAUGGGGGGAACCCGGAUCCAGCCAUGCCGCGUGUGUGAAGAAGGCCCUCGGGUUGUAAAGCACUUUCAGUGAGGAAGAACGCCUGGUGGUUAAUACCCAUCAGGAAAGACAUCACUCACAGAAGAAGCACCGGCUAACUCCGUGCCAGCAGCCGCGGUAAUACGGAGGGUGCGAGCGUUAAUCGGAAUUACUGGGCGUAAAGCGCGCGUAGGUGGCUUGAUAAGCCGGUUGUGAAAGCCCCGGGCUCAACCUGGGAACGGCAUCCGGAACUGUCAAGCUAGAGUGCAGGAGAGGAAGGUAGAAUUCCCGGUGUAGCGGUGAAAUGCGUAGAGAUCGGGAGGAAUACCAGUGGCGAAGGCGGCCUUCUGGACUGACACUGACACUGAGGUGCGAAAGCGUGGGUAGCAAACAGGAUUAGAUACCCUUGUAGUC
RNAcentral lists this ribosomal RNA (465 nucleotides) under Vreelandella stevensii. RNAcentral describes it as "partial 16S ribosomal RNA". It matches the Rfam family "Bacterial small subunit ribosomal RNA", at positions 338 to 795 of the family's 1533-position model. The record is from RNAcentral. Lineage: Bacteria; Pseudomonadati; Pseudomonadota; Gammaproteobacteria; Oceanospirillales; Halomonadaceae.